This 249-nucleotide long non-coding RNA is filed under the name Musa acuminata (dwarf banana). RNAcentral's name for it is "long non-coding RNA (MACU_LNC005622)". Lineage: Eukaryota; Viridiplantae; Streptophyta; Magnoliopsida; Zingiberales; Musaceae. The record is from RNAcentral.
UUUUUUUUUUCAUCAUCAAGCUAGUAAGAUUUUUCUCCCUCUUUGUUAUUGUCAAAGAGAAGAGAAUAAUACAAUAGUAUAUAUUUUUUUUUUCAUACUCAUAAUAUAAGAUUUACAACCAUAAAUACAAAUGAAUUAUAUAUAAUGAAAAUCAUAUCAUGAAAGAUAAUAUCAAAGAUCAUGUGAAUACCAAAAGACAUUAUUCAUUUUGAUAAAUCUCAUCUUAAAUAAUCCAAAAGAAAUCUUAGG